This 396-nucleotide ribosomal RNA is filed under the name uncultured bacterium. Its description in RNAcentral is "bacterial SSU rRNA". It matches the Rfam family "Bacterial small subunit ribosomal RNA", at positions 505 to 898 of the family's 1533-position model. The record is from RNAcentral.
GUGUCAGCCGCCGCGGUAAGACGUAGGGAGCGAGCGUUAUCCGGAUUCAUUGGGCGUAAAGCGCGCGUAGGCGGCCGCGCAAGUCGGGUGUGAAAACCAGAGGCUCAACCUCUGGCCUGCAUCCGAAACUGCGUAGCUAGAGGUAGGUAGGGGAGAUCGGAAUUCCUGGUGUAGCGGUGAAAUGCGCAGAUAUCAGGAGGAACACCGGUGGCGAAGGCGGAUCUCUGGGCCUUACCUGACGCUGAGGUGCGAAAGCUAGGGGAGCGAACAGGAUUAGAUACCCUGGUAGUCCUAGCCGUAAACGUUGGACACUAGGUGUGGGCGGACAUCAACCCCGUCUGUGCCGUAGCUAACGCAUUAAGUGUCCCGCCUGGGGAGUACGGCCGCAAGGCUAAA